AAAUAAAACAAGAUAAAAAAAUGAAAAAAAAAAGCUUAACCUCUAAAAAAGUCUUUUAUUUUCUGAUGUUCUUAAAAAAAGAGAACCCCUUACAUGCCACUGAUUUGGGCUUUUAUAGCCGCUUUAUACAACAUUUUGUUUCUUUUUUUUUUUGCCCUAUUUUGCUUUCUAUUGUUGCGUGUUUCCUUCUCUUUGCAGGUAAUUGAUGGGUGGUGGCAGUGAGUAGGUGGAGCAGAGGGCAGACAAUGGGACGUGACAUGCGGCACACAUGGUCCUGGUGUGCAGCGCUGGAGGAGGGACUAGGGUUAGGGUUUCAGUUAUGUUUUACUGAAACUUAGUUAAUGUUUUGGGCCGUCGGACUUUGGGCUUGUAACUUGGGUUUUUUAAUUUGGGCUAGUAUUGCAAUGUGAACUGGACUAUUAUUUGGGUUUUAUUAUUAUUUUUUGUUUUGAUUCUUUGGCCCCGGGCAAAAAUGGGCCUUUACAGCUGCCCCUCUUGUCUCAUUCUCAUGUAACGAGAAUGGAGCAAAGGCUUCAAAAGGGCCAAUUUUGCCCAGUCUCACCGAGUCUUGACUUCUUCUAACGCUUCUCUUCUUCAAGUAGCCUCAUUCCAGUCCACUGUGUCUUUUCGCUUCAAUCCACUCAAUUGCACUUCAGGGAGAUCUAACUUGUAACUUCAAUCUUCUUCGCAGCAACUUCAGGAGGACGAGGUUUUGGUUUUAGUCUGCUCUACUGCAAUGUCAGGGAGAUAAGACUUGUUGCUUCAAUCUGUUCCACUACGACCUCAAGGAGAUAAGGUUUGAUAUGAUAAGAUUUAAUCCGACCCUCUGCGACUUUAAAGGUAUAGGAUUCACCGUUUUAAUCCGCUCCACUGCAACUUCAAGGAGAUAGGACUGGACUCGAUCUGCUCUACUGCAACUUCAGAGAGAUAAGAUUGGUGUCUUCAACCUGUUCUACUGUAACUUUAGGGAGAUAAGGUUUUCAAUUUCAACAUGCCCCACUGCAACCUCGGGAGGAUAAGGUUUGAUAUGAUCUGCUUUACUGCAACUUCAGAGAGAUAAUAUCUGCACUAUAUAGCUUCAAUCUAUUCCACUGCAAUAUCAGGGAAAUAAGAUUCGCUAACUUCAGUCUGCUCUACUGCAACUUCAGGGAGAUAAGACUCGUGGCUUAAAUAUGCUUCCCUACUACUUUGGGAAGAUAAGAUUCGUCGUCUUCGAUCUGCUCCACUACUGCUUAGGGAGACAGAAUCUGCAAUCUUCAGCCUACUCCACUGUUGCUCAGGGAGAUAAGGACGAUGCUUUCGAUCUACUUCACUGCCAGUAUAGGAAGACAAUAUCUACAAUCUUCGACCUACUUCACUACUGCUCAGGGAGAUAAGGCUAGUGGCUCAAAUCUACUUCUUACUAUAUUGGGAAGAUAAGAUUCACAAUCUUCGAUCUGCUCCACUACUGUUUCGGGAUAUAAGAUCUACAAUCUUUAACCUACUCCACUGCUGCUCAGGGAGAUAGGACUGGUGGCUUAAAUUUGUUUCCUACUAUCUCGGGAAGAUAAGAUUCGUAGUCUUCGAUCUGCUCUACUACUGCUUAGGGAGAUAAGAUCUACAAUCUUCAACCUACUCCACUACUGCUCAGGGAGAUAGGACUGGUGGCUUAAAUCUGCUUCCUACUAUCUCGGGAUUAUAAGAUUCGCCAUGUUCGAUCUGCUUCACUACUGUUUAGAGAGACAGGAUCUAUAAUCUCCAACCUACUCCACUACUGCUCAAGGAGAUAGGACUGGUUUCACCAAUCUGUUCUUUGGGGAACAUGACCUGUAAGAUCCCUUUCAUGGGUCUAUUUAUGCCUAGUGAUUAGGAUGUUAUGAUAGGAAUGAAUCAAAAUCUCCUAACUAAAUGUGCAUGCAUGAAUGCAAAAUGUCAUGAAAAUGAUCUUUUCAUGUUUGAGUUGUUAUUGCUCGUUAUUCAUUAAGGCUUUAUUACCAACACGUCCGAACGUCAUCUUGUUUAGUUGGUAACACUCACAUCUUACUUAAUCGGAUUGCCCCCACUGUAAUCUUCAAGGUUCAAUCCACUGUAAUCUUUAAGGUUCAAUCCACUGUAAUUUUGGGACAUAAAAUUUGAACCAUCCUCCUCCCACUGUAAUUUAGGAUUAUAAGAUCUAACUCUUUCUCAAUCCUCUCCCAUUGCAAUUUAGGGAUACAGGAUCUGAAUCUCCUUGGUCUCCUACACAAUUCCCAGGGUGCCAUACCAAAUGUUUAUGCACAAUUGUAAAACCUUCUCUUCUGAGAAACCUCUUCUUAUCAAUCGGUGAUCACUGCUUGUUUGUUCAUUGAAGCUUUAUCACCAACACAACAUCUUGUCAUUUUGUUCAACCAAUGUUUUGACAACAAAAUUCGAAAGGGUAGUCUUAAUUUAAACUUUCCUUCUUAGACAUUUCAACCUUUAAACUUGGUGCGUUCUAAACAAUAGUCCUGUUUCAGGUUCCUGUAUUAUUUAGAAACUUCUAGGGUAAUAUGCAAAACUUCCCUUGUGAAAGUAUUAUUAGUCCAUUAAUCACUAAUCCAAUGCAACAUACUUGAAAAAAGAUCAUAACAAUGGAUAAAAAUGAAAUUGAUUUAGGAGCAUAACUCGAAAUGAAUAAAUUAUCAAGAAUAAAAGAGGAAUUGAUUGGGAACACGUAUCUUGAAAAAGAAAGAAGUAUUCCAAGAACAACAAAUUCAAUAUAAAUAGUAUGAAGAUUAGGUGCCCCAGAUAUCGCAGCUUGAAUUUCUCUGUAAAAACUUUUUGAAAGACCAUUCUGAGUUUGAUAUGUGUUUAGGAGAUCUAUAAGACUUUGUCAAUGCCCCAAGAUGUCGCUUACCCUUUCCUAUUGAUUCAGGUAUAACAAGAUCACCAAAUGCCCUAAUCUAAUCAAAAUUUGAGUUGCUCUGAUCACCUCAUGCCCCAUUUUGAUCCAAAAUUUGAGCCGCUUUGAUCACCUCAUAUCCUAUUUUGGUCAAAAUUUGAGCUGCCCUUUUCAAGUUUUCAACUCAAAUCCCCUUUGGUCUCAAGGCGCCCUUUACGGGUUUUCACAUUGGCUUCUGCUUUUCUUUUUCUUUUCUUUUCUUCUUCUUUCUUUUUUAUUUUUCUUUUUUUUUUUGUUUUUUUAAACAAUUUUUUAUUGAAUCUGAACUCAUAGGAUUAGGCAUGUCCCCGUUAUCCCUUCCGAUCAAGAUUGACGCUUUUCCAAAUAAAGCCUUCCAUAUAAGGUCCUUUCCAGCUUGGCAUAAAGUUCUUUUUGUAUAGGAAGGAUCUUCUUCAAUACCAGGUCUUUCUCUUGGAAUUCUCUAAGGCGAACUUUUUUUGUGAGCUCGCAUCAUUUACUUUUGGCUCAUUUGACCAUGAUGGAUAACUUUCAACAUUCCUCUUCAAUCGGGAUUGGAUCAAAAAACUCAGAGAGAAAUAAUCUUUUCUUCAAUAGGCAAAACCGCGAUAGGCCCAAAAGAACGGCAUUACCACGGCAGAGUUUUUUUUUGUGUUUUACCUCCAAUGCUCUGUUCACUUUGGGACAACAUAGUGUUAUUUUGAAUAGCCUACAAACUUCUGAUAUCGUGCUAUUGUUCCGGUUACAAUGUCGGUGCUUAACCCGGGUAUGACUAUGUGAAGAUAUCUUUGAACUCUUGAAGUAACUCAAUAAGGUCUUACUUCGUUUCUUUGGUUAUGCAUGUUCUAAUUUUUACUAUUUUUCCCUCCUCCAAGGUCACAAUCUCCAUUGUCUCUUCAUGAGGUAAAAUUUGUUUCUCUUCUUGUUUUAUCAUCCACAACAAGUCUGAAAAUAGGCUACAAUCUAUGUCAUCUUCAAAAUCAUGAGAUCCCUCUAAACACAUGUCUCACUCAAAAGGCGGAUAUCUAGCAAGGUCCCUUCUUCAGUUGCUUUUUUCUUUCAUAAAUAACAUUGGUGUGAACAUUUCCCAACUUCUUCAUGUAUUGUAUUCACUAUAUUAUCAAUCAUGAUUGGGUAGCAGAUUUUCUGCACUGGAGGAAUCAUCAAAUUUGAUAACGCCCAUACUGAUAAGCCUUUCAACCACUUUUUUAAAGGUAAUGCAAUUUUCUAUGGAAUGCCCCGUAAUUCCUGCAUGAUAAUCACAUUGCGCAUUUUUUUCGUACCAUUUGGGGUAUGGAGGUUGUAAAGGCUUCAAGUAAAAAGGGGAGACAACAUGUGCGUCAAAUAAACUCUCAUACAACUCUCGAUACGACAUUGGGAUUAGUGCAAAUUGAGACUUUUCAAUGUUUUGCUGUGUGCCAGAUUCUUGUCUUGGAGGGAUCUGAUGGCCAGAAGUAACCAUCCUUGGUUGGCUUGCGGUAAUCAGCUUUGAAUAACCCUCGUUAUACCUACUUGCAUCAUUCACCUCAUUUUUCCUCUUCCUCGAGGCAUUCAAAGUAUUGAUUUGAGGGCUCCACUCUUGCCCUUUCCAUUUGUAACGAUCUACAAAUUGUUUUGAGAGCUCCACUCUCGCCUGUUUUGUUCCCGCUAUAUCAUUAAUGACAACGAGAUUAAUUAGAUUGCCCCUAAGGUUAGAACUUGAGCCUGUCGAGAAAUUCACCGGUGUCGAGGUACUGGUCUGGUAUUGUGGUUGGAUGUUAAGAGUUACCCUUUGUGGAUAUGUAUUUGGUUGUGCUUGGAUGUUUGUUGAGGUAAAGCCUGAAAAAUAAGUAAGGCUUUUAUUAUCAUUUCCAAAAUGGACCGCUGGGUUUUUUCCUUUUUCUAACCCCAUAUCCAAUAACUGGGUUAACUGGCUCAUCAGAUUUCUUUGGACUUCUAGCAUCUGAUCAUUCAUAUCUGGUUAGAAUUUGGUCAAUUGCUAUUGCAUCUGUAUUUUUCUUUGUUCUAAUCUCUCCAACCUUUGGUCCAUUCUUUUAGUUUCUGUUUGGGUAGCGCAAGGGUGUUUGUUUGGUAGGUUGGUUUCCAUUGACUUUGAAAUGAUUUCGUUUGAUUAGGGUAUUUUAGUAAAAUUUGAUGCAUGGAAUGAAAUGUAAUGCAGAUGCAUGAAUGCAAAAAAAAGGCGUUGACUCUGAUUCAAUUCCAUUUAGAAAACUUUACUAAAAAACAAAUUUCUUUACAUAAAACGGAUGCAUGUACGACCUUGCCUUCAUACUCCAAGAAACAAUAUCGAUCCGAAUGAAUCUCACGAAAUGUCACUACUAACUCCUUCUUGCUUGAUCCUGGUCCUGAACCAUAGUCUACCCAUCCUCGUAAUGCUCAUCAGCUCAUUUAAGGAAGUCAGAAUGUCGGAGACCCUCAAAUAGUUAGCUUGAAUCUUCGGGCCACGAAGUAAAGUCAUGUACUCUUUCAUCACCCUUCUUUUGAUGUGUUUCUUGGGAUAUAUUCGGGCAGCCAUAUUAUCUUCCACUUUAUCAAGAAAUUCAUUUUCCAUGACAAGCUUUCUAAUUUAGUAAUCAAAUUUGAAUCAACACCUUUUUUCUAAGAUGAAAAUGCAAUGCAAUUAUAACCAAAACAAAACGAAACGGGUUAGUACAAAGCAAAAGCAAACAAGAAAAAUAGAGUACCUAUUUGGGUAACUACUAAGGGUUUGAAGUGGCUCUACCUAGGGUGGGCUCCUAAGGUCUUCUACAUGUAGUUUGGUUCUAAAGUAAAGGUACCCGAACCAGCAGAUUCCUCGAUCCUCACCUAUUAUAGGCUCAUACGGACCAAGUUCAGUUUAGAGGAAUAUAUUUCCCUAUGGCUGCACGGAGAUAAAAAUCUCACGAAGACAUACGGAUGUAUCCCGAAAGUAAUCUGCUAUCUUGCACGGAGGUGAAGACCUCACGAAGGAAAUAACUUCUCACUCCCACUAAAAAGGAAAUAAUAAAGCGGUUAUGUAAUGCAAUAUGCAGAAACAUAUCAAAAAUAUUCAAACCAAUAGAGUAAUUACAAACCGAAGUAAUAAUCGUAACAAAAUGGAUGAAAUACAACAAAAUGAUCGUAAAUUUAAACCAAGUUUUCAGGUGACCUCUAGGUAUUUGGUGUGGUUCUACCUAGUGUAGGCUCUUAAGGCUCAUUAUAUGCGGUUCGGUUCUAAAGUAAGGGUACUUGAACCAGCAGAUUCCUCGAUCCUCACCCAUUAUAGGCUCAUACGGACUGAGUUCAGUUCAGGGGAAUACAUUUCCCUAUGGCCAUGCGGAGAUGAAAAACUCACGAAGACAUAGGUACGGAUGUAUCCCGGAAGCGAUUCACUAUCCUAUGCGGAGGUGAAAACCUCACGAAGGCGUAGCUUCUCACUCCCACUUAAAAGUUGUGACCCACGGCUAUGCAAUGCAAUAUGUGAAGAUAUAAAAAAUUUAAAAUAUCAGACAUGAUGAAAACUCAAACUCAAAAAUAGAUAAAAUGUAAUGAAAGGAUCAUAUAUUAAAAAUCAAAAUUUCAACUUUCAACAAAAAGACAAAAGUUAAUCAAUUUAUGGUUUGACUCUUUUAUAGUCCCCAGUAGAGUCGCCAAGCUGUUGACACCAUUUUUUUUGAUAAAACGGGAUCGAGUUGGAUUUUGAAAAUGAAAACGAAUAUGGGAGUCACCACCAAUCCUUUUUGAUGAGGUGUGAUCGGGUCACCUUAGAAAAUGACUUAUUUUUAAUAAAUAGUUUGAUUUAUUAAAAUAACGCUUUUUGGUCUACGAAAUUCAAAAAAAUAGGUUCGGGAGUCGGUUACAUACAAGGAAGGAUUAGCACCCUUGUAACGCCCAAAAUUGAUACCUAGUUGAUUAAUUAGUGUCUUAGUGUCGAGAAUUGAAAACUUUGAAGAGAUUUGAAAUACGAUCCUUAUAUUUAAAAAAAAUUGUAUAAAUCAAAUUACAUGUUAAGACCCUCUCAUUUCGGAGAGAGAAAAUGUCACACCUAAUGAGUUAGGGCAUGAUAUUUCUCAUCCUCAAAAAUGGAUGUCAUUAAAAAAACUCAUACAAUAAAAUUCAAAAGGAUAUUCAAUUGUUUAAGUAAAGUGAAGAAAUCGUAGUCCAAUACGUUAGGGCACAAUUUCUCAAAAUUCUAAACAUUGAAUAUUGCCUUUAUUUAUUUUUUAAAAAAAAUCCUCACCUCGAGAAAAUAACGUGUCAUAUCCAAUGCAUUAGGACACAACGUAUUGAAUUCCCGAUAAUGAGAUUUUUAUUUAUGUUUUUUGAUUAAAAAGUAUUCUUGAUUAUUUAGAUUCAACGAAGAAAAUUGGAACCCAAUACGUUAGGGCUCAAUCCUCUCGAAGAUCUCAAAUACCGAGUAUUGCCUUUAUUUUCAAAAUUUUCUCUUUUUACGAAUUUGAGUAAAAAUAGGUGUAAUGGAAUAACAAUGAUGCUAAUGUAGGUAAAAUAACACGAGCAAAAACAAAAGAUAAAUAAAUGAUAAGACCAAUAUAUAAAAAACAAUCACGUAGGCACAAUAACAAAUAACAACAGAUAAAAACUAAAACAUAAAAAAUAAUAAUAACGGACAUGUAAAUAAAUAAAUAAAUGAACAAAAUUAUAAAAAAAUAUAAAAGACAUAUAUAUGUAUAAAAUUAUGGAAAUAUGAAAAACAUGUGUAUGUACACAUAUUCUAAAACUAUUAUACAUGAAAUAUGUGUAUGUAUGUACGUACAUAUAUACGUAAAUAACAAUCAUAAAAUAUAAAAAGUAUAUAUGUGGGUAUAUAUAGGAAUCAUAAAAUAUAAAGAAUAUAUACAAAAUAAAUAUAUUUUAGAAGUAUAAAGGAUAUGUAAAUAUAUAUGUAUGUAUUUAAAGUUAUGAAAUGUAAGAAAUAUAAAGGUAUGCAUCCAUAUAUAUAUGUGUUUAUAAAAAUCAAAACCUAUAUAGAUAUGUAUUUAUUAUGUAUAUAUAUAUAUAUUGUAGAAUAUAUAAAUAUAUAUAUGAAAUAUAAAAUAUAUACAUAAGAAAAAUAUGGAUUGUAAAAAGAAUAUGUAUAAGUACAUGUAUAUAUAUAAGUAAAGUAUGAAAAUAUGUGUAUAUAUGUACAUAAAUUAAAAUGUGUAUAUGUAUAUAUAAAGUAUAAAGUAUAUAUAAAAAAAGUAGGUAUAUAUCAAGGAUGUAUAUUUAUAUAUAUGAUUAAAUCUAAAAUUAGAUGGUAUAAAUGAAUAAGUAAUAAUAAUAAUAAUAAUAAUAGUAAAAGAACAAAAUAAAAAAAAUUAGGGGAUAGAUUUUAAAAUGACAUAAAAAGAUAAUAAAGGACUAAAGUGAAACGUGCGUCAAGAAUGAGGGACUCAUCGCGCAAUAUCCCCAUUCUUUAUACGCAUCAUUUUGCAAGACUAGAACAGAAUAGACGCGAAAAAAUAGGGUUAAAUUGAAAAUACUAAAAAAAAGGGAAAAUGACCAAAUUGAAGCCAAUCAUAAAAUCGGAGGGAUCCGCAGCGCAAAUAACCCAUUCGAUCUUGAAACGCGCGGAUCCUCUGCUAAACGGGUCGGGUCGCGGGUCGGCCUCCCCAAAACGACGUCGUUUUGCAUCUGGGGAGGCCACCCAAAACACUGCUGUUUCGAUUUUCUAUUUAAGGCCCCUUUCUUUAUUUUUUUUUAUUCAUUCCUUCCUCAUUAAAAAAAAACUGCAGAACUCUCUCAUGCUCUCCAUGCCUUCCGACGAUCGGGCCUCUCACCGCCGAUCGCCCGUCCGCUGCAUCGCCACCAAAUCGACGGCCGACGAAGCAUGAGGAAGGGUUUUUAAAGCCCGGUUCCAGGUGGGCUGUGGGGUCGGGCUUUCGAGCCCCACAAGGACCGAAACAGAGGCCCAGACCCUACCUCUCGGAAUUCGGUCUCGACGACGGAGAUCCGCCCUCCGAAGGCGGUCACGGGGCGUCCGGUAAGUCUCUUCCUCUCUUUUUAUCUCAUUAUUUAAUAUAAAAAAAUCGAAAAUAAAAUAAAUAAAAUAAAAUAAAACAAGAUAAAAAACGGAAAAAAAAAAAGCUGAACCUCUAAAAAAGUCUUUUAUUUUCUGAUGUUCUUAAAAAAAGGGAACCCUUUACAUGCCACUGAUUUGGGCUUUUAUAUCCGCUUUAUACAACAUUUUGUUUCUUUUUUUUUGCCCUAUUUUGCUUUCUAUUGUUGCGUGUUUCCUUCUCUUUGCAGGUAAUUGAUGGGUGGUGGCAGUGAGUAGGUGGAGCAGAGGGCAGACGAUGGGACGUGACAUGCGGCGCACAUGGUCCUGGCGUGCGGCGUUGGAGGAGGGACUAGGGUUAGGAUUUCAGUUGUGUUUUACUGAAACUUAGUUAAUGUUUUGGGUCGUCGGGCUUUGGGCUUGUAACUUGGGUUUUUUAAUUUGGGCUAGUAUUGUAAUGUGAACUGGACUAUUAUUUGGGUUUUAUUAUUAUUAUUUGUUUUGAUUCUUUGGCCCCGGGCAAAAAUGGGUCUUUACAGGAACCUUUUCUCUGUUUCUCAUUACUACUUAUGGGGUUAGGAUUUUAAAACAAAUUUAAUGGGCUUCGCUACUCACACAUCCUAUUUAGUUUUAUAUUUUAACAUUUAUAUUCAUUUUUAAUUCUAAUUAUUAUUAUUGUUAAAAUUCUUCAAUUAAAUUUAUUGAUGUGAAAUUUUAAAAUUAUAAAAAUUUACUUCGCAA
RNAcentral lists this long non-coding RNA (9554 nucleotides) under Gossypium barbadense (sea-island cotton). RNAcentral's name for it is "long non-coding RNA (GBAR_LNC017050)". Lineage: Eukaryota; Viridiplantae; Streptophyta; Magnoliopsida; Malvales; Malvaceae. The record is from RNAcentral.